UCUGGUAGGUGCCAACCUUGGUUGGCACAGGGCCAGCCGACUGCGCUGACGCAUCCGUGCCAACCAAGGUUGGCACCUACCGGA
Molecule: non-coding RNA, 84 nt
Filed under: Stenotrophomonas sp. yr243
Lineage: Bacteria; Pseudomonadati; Pseudomonadota; Gammaproteobacteria; Lysobacterales; Lysobacteraceae
Also listed under: 1 other name
Source: RNAcentral